AGAGUUUGAUCAUGGCUCAGGAUGAACGCUAGCGGCAGGCUUAACACAUGCAAGUCGGGCGGCAGCGGGGUGGGAGCUUGCUCCCACUGCCGGCGAGCGGCGCACGGGUGAGUAACACGUAUGCAACCUGCCCCUGUCAGGGGGACAACCCGCCGAAAGGCGGGCUAAGCCCGCGUAUAUCGCCCCGGGGCAUCCCGGGGGGAGGAAAGGAGCGAUCCGGACAGGGAUGGGCAUGCGGCGCAUUAGCUGGUCGGCGGGGUAACGGCUCACCGAGGCGACGAUGCGUAGGGGUUCUGAGAGGAAGGCCCCCCACACUGGUACUGAGACACGGACCAGACUCCUACAGGAGGCAGCAGUGAGGAAUAUUGGUCAAUGGGCGGGAGCCUGAACCAGCCCAGCCGCGUGAGGGAAGAAAGUACAACGUAUCGUAAACCUCUUUUGUC
RNAcentral lists this ribosomal RNA (443 nucleotides) under uncultured bacterium. RNAcentral describes it as "bacterial SSU rRNA". It matches the Rfam family "Bacterial small subunit ribosomal RNA", at positions 8 to 440 of the family's 1533-position model. The record is from RNAcentral.